This 29-nucleotide non-coding RNA is filed under the name Homo sapiens (human). Lineage: Eukaryota; Metazoa; Chordata; Mammalia; Primates; Hominidae. The record is from RNAcentral.
GAGCCAAAAUAAUGGGUUCACAUCUCGGC